CCUACGGGUGGCAGCAGUGGGGAAUAUUGCACAAUGGGGGAAACCCUGAUGCAGCGACGCCGCGUGAGUGAAGAAGUCAUUCGUUAUGUAAAGCUCUAUCAGCAGGGAAGAAAAUGACGGUACUUGAGUAAUAAGCCCCGGCGAACUACGGGACAGCAGCCGCGGUCAUACGUAGGGGGCAAGCGUUAUCCGGAUUUACUGGGUGUAAAGUGAUCGUAGACGGCAGUGCAAGUCAGGAGUGAAAGGCGGGGGCUCAAUCCCCGGACUGCUCUGGAUACUGGACGGCUGGAGUGCAGGAGAGGUAAGUGGAAUUCCAGGUGUAGCGGUGAAAUGCGUAGAGAUUAGGAGGAACACCGGUGGCGAAGGCAGCUUACUGGACUGUAACUGACGUUGAGGCGCGAAAGCGUGGGGAGCAAACAGGAUUAGAUACCCCUGUAGUC
Molecule: ribosomal RNA, 440 nt
Filed under: uncultured bacterium
Lineage: Bacteria
Description: partial 16S ribosomal RNA
Rfam family: Bacterial small subunit ribosomal RNA
Source: RNAcentral